RNAcentral lists this ribosomal RNA (252 nucleotides) under uncultured bacterium. RNAcentral describes it as "partial 16S ribosomal RNA". It matches the Rfam family "Bacterial small subunit ribosomal RNA", at positions 524 to 776 of the family's 1533-position model. The record is from RNAcentral.
UACAUGGGGUGCAAACGUUGCUCGGAAUUACUGGGCGUAAAGCGCACGUAGGCGGGUCUUAAGUCGGAGGUGAAAUCCUGGAGCUCAACUCCAGAACUGCCUUCGAUACUGAGGAUCUCGAGUCCGGGAGAGGUGAGUGGAACUGCGAGUGUAGAGGUGAAAUUCGUAGAUAUUCGCAAGAACACCAGUGGCGAAGGCGGCUCACUGGCCCGGUACUGACGCUGAGGUGCGAAAGCGUGGGGAGCAAACAGG